RNAcentral lists this ribosomal RNA (253 nucleotides) under uncultured prokaryote. Its description in RNAcentral is "partial 16S ribosomal RNA". It matches the Rfam family "Bacterial small subunit ribosomal RNA", at positions 525 to 777 of the family's 1533-position model. The record is from RNAcentral.
ACGUAGGGUGCAAGCGUUAAUCGGAAUUACUGGGCGUAAAGCGUACGCAGGCGGCUAUGUAAGACAGGUGUGGAAUCUCCGGGCUUAACCUGGGAACUGCAUUUGUGACUGCAUAGCUAGAGCCUGUCAGAGGGGGGUGGAAUUCCACGUGUAGCAGUGAAAUGCGUAGAGAUGUGGAGGAACACCGAUGGCGAAGGCAGCCCCCUGGGAUAAGACUGACGCUCAUGUACGAAAGCGUGGGGAGCAAACAGGA